This 182-nucleotide ribosomal RNA is filed under the name uncultured bacterium. Its description in RNAcentral is "partial 16S ribosomal RNA". It matches the Rfam family "Bacterial small subunit ribosomal RNA", at positions 1306 to 1500 of the family's 1533-position model. The record is from RNAcentral.
UGAAACUACGCCUACAUGAAGCUGGAAUUGCUAGUAAUCACAGGUCAGCAUACUGUGGUGAAUACGUUCCCGGGCCUUGUACACACCGCCCGUCACACCAUGAGAGUUGAGAAUACCCGAAGCCCAUGUCAAAGUGGUCGAAGGUAGGCUUGAUGAUUGGGGUGAAGUCGUAACAAGGUAGC